Molecule: transfer RNA, 71 nt
Filed under: Gobiodon citrinus
Lineage: Eukaryota; Metazoa; Chordata; Actinopteri; Gobiiformes; Gobiidae
Description: tRNA-Val
Rfam family: tRNA
About the family: Transfer RNA (tRNA) molecules are approximately 80 nucleotides in length. Their secondary structure includes four short double-helical elements and three loops (D, anti-codon, and T loops). Further hydrogen bonds mediate the characteristic L-shaped molecular structure. tRNAs have two regions of fundamental functional importance: the anti-codon, which is responsible for specific mRNA codon recognition, and the 3' end, to which the tRNAs corresponding amino acid is attached (by aminoacyl-tRNA synthetases). tRNAs cope with the degeneracy of the genetic code in two manners: having more than one tRNA (with a specific anti-codon) for a particular amino acid; and 'wobble' base-pairing, i.e. permitting non-standard base-pairing at the 3rd anti-codon position.
Source: RNAcentral
CAGAGCGUGGCUAAAGAGCAGAGCAUCUCCCUUACACCGAGAAGAUACCUGUGCAAAUCAGGUCGCACUGA